AAUAGUGAAGCAUUAUGAAUAUUACGAAAUCAGUUGCCAACUAUCUCUCAGUCGAGACACAACGUGUGAACAGAAGAAAUAAUUACGUGGACGUUAUUACUCGAACUUUAUCGGAAAAUAACAGAUCUCAAAUCAGACAAAAUGACAAUUGGUCCUGAAACAGAUGACCCAGUAUUUGGUUUUGGAAUACCAUCGUUGGAGGCGUUGGGAAUCGAGAAAUUAGAAAGCGAGAACCACGCCGCCCACCUACAUCGUCCUGACACACCACCUGAUUCACCAGAGCCAGACGAGGUAUUGCCAGGCGAAAAUGUUGCCAGAAUGGAUGCAAAUAUACAGAGAGGGAAUGAAAAUAUCGCCCAUGUAGAUGUUAUCACUGAAUUUUUCCGAAAAUAUCCCCAAGCAAACAAUUCUUUCGCAGCAAUCAUGGAUCUAUACAGUGACAGACAUUUGGAGGAAUUAUUGCGAAAGAUUGCAGAAGAUAACUUACAUGAGGGCGAUCCUAUGAAAAGGUUCAUUUUGAUUUACAAUUUCUAUAAAGCUAGGGAAGACUUUGAAACCGAUAAAGAUAUUUUGAUGAAUGCAUGCCUUGCUCGUAUAGAUGCAGGUGAACCGAUAUUAUAUUAAAGAAAAAACACGAUAAACGUAGAGGAAUUACUAAGAUUUACAUAAUGAGCAGUGUUGGCCAAGUGGCUUCAACGUGCGACUCUCAUCCCUGAGGUACGACCUCAGGGUUCGAUCCAAACACAAAUCAAUGCUUAAAUUGAAUGUAUUUCUUAUGAAAAUAAGAAAUUGAAAGUUCUCCUUUAGUUUCGUUUUAGAAACAGAGUUCAGUGUUAAAAAGUGCUCAGUACAUCCUCUACGUUUAUGGUAAUUUAUAAACUUAGCGAUACAUUUCUAUAAUUAUAGUAAAUUUUGAUUCUCUGACUGACUGCCGAAAAGAUAUGUAAUUUAGAAAUAACCACCUUAUAUUAAUAAUUAAGAAAUAACCACUAAAAUGUAACCACUUUUAGCCGUUUUCUAUGCCAUAUUUAGAAACUCGUAUGUUAAUGCACAAAUCAAGGAGUGGGAAUUUAAAACGACGGAUGGUCUAUCAUCUAGUUUUGCGACAAGAUCCGAAUUACCGAAGGACCAAUCACAAACAAACGAAACUAGCUAUCGUAUCGUCUUUUGUUUUACAUUUCGUCCUCCUGAAGUUAGCACUAAGAUAUCGCGCCGGUGGCUUCGUGUUACUGGAUGUUUACAGCCGUGUCUGGAUAGGCUUGAUUUACUAGGUAACCUGCUCCCAUUAACACCAAUAUGCUGCCCAGACUCGCGCAAACUACAUCAAAUCAUGUUUAACUUUUGUGCAAGUUCUAGCUACCUCACAGUUCUUCGCCGUACAUUUUAAGACGAGUUUUUCAAUUACAAAAAAAGCGUCGCUAAGUUAUGUAAAGUUAUAGUGAGCGAAAUUUAGUGAUAUGUUGUAACUUUGUGAUAUUUUUAUCUAGGAGAGAUAAGACUGAAAAUAUUGACGAAUAGUGAGGCUUUAGGUUAAGGUAUUAUAAGUUAGAUGUAAACGCUACUUUUUGAUAUAAACCGAUAUACAAACGCAAGUACAAUGUUUAUAAAAUGAAAAGAAAUUAAAAAUUAUGUAGUUAAUAAAAUGAAAAGAAAACAUUCAUAAAAAAACAAUAAAUUAAACUAAGUACUCUUUCUACAAAUUUUCAAUAAUUUUAUAAGAACUUUUUGUAUCAACUCUAAUAAAUUUGAUUUGAAGUAAAUAAAAAUGAAUUGUGAAUCAAUUUAGAAAACUCUUGUGAUUUUUGUUUUGUUUAAAAUUUUAUAUGUGCGUAGUAUUUAUUGUUUAUGUGCUGUGAUUCCGUAAUAAAGUUUCUAUAAGUAA
Pieris napi is the source of this 1882-nucleotide long non-coding RNA. RefSeq lists it as uncharacterized. NCBI's taxonomy places the organism in Eukaryota, Metazoa, Arthropoda, Insecta, Lepidoptera, Pieridae. The record is from RefSeq and is a predicted model, not a curated record. The transcript is spliced from 3 exons.